AGUGAACGCUGGCGGUAGGCCUAACACAUGCAAGUCGAGCGGCAGCACAGUAAGAGCUUGCUCUUACGGGUGGCGAGUGGCGGACGGGUGCGGAAUACAUCGGAAUCUACUUUUUCGAGGGGGCUAACGCAGGGAAACUUACGCUAAUACCGCAUACGACCUACGGGUGAAAGCAGCGGAUCUUCGGACCUUGCGCGAUUGAAUGAGCCGAUGUCGGAUUAGCUAGUUGGCGGGGUAAAGGCCCACCAAGGCGACGAUCCGUAGCUGGUCUGAGAGGAUGAUCAGCCACACUGGAACUGAGACACGGUCCAGACUCCUACGGGAGGCAGCAGUGGGGAAUAUUGGACAAAGGGCGCAAGCCUGAUCCAGCCAUACCGCGUGGGUGAAGAAGGCCUUCGGGUUGUAAAGCCCUUUUGUUGGGAAAGAAAAGCAGCAGGUUAAUACCCCGCUGUUCUGACGUUACCCAAAGAAUAAGCACCGGCUAACUUCGUG
RNAcentral lists this ribosomal RNA (492 nucleotides) under uncultured bacterium. RNAcentral's name for it is "partial 16S ribosomal RNA". It matches the Rfam family "Bacterial small subunit ribosomal RNA", at positions 29 to 507 of the family's 1533-position model. The record is from RNAcentral.